RNAcentral lists this long non-coding RNA (513 nucleotides) under Equus caballus (horse). RNAcentral describes it as "lncRNA (ENSECAG00000057351.1)". Lineage: Eukaryota; Metazoa; Chordata; Mammalia; Perissodactyla; Equidae. The record is from RNAcentral.
ACAGGAUUGUUGGCAACGUUCCCUCUCACUCUUUCUCUUUAUUCCUGCUAUUAGUGUUUCAAAAUAGUUUAUACAAUGAAAAAACAACUUAAAAAGAAGUCAUUUUCCUGAGGCAGGGAACAUUGUCUCUUUGAGUCCUGAGCCACCAGGUGCCCUGCUGGAGAGAUCACAAUGAGACUAUCUAGAGGGGGAGAGGGACCCAGAUGAAGCCAGCUUUCCAGCCAUUUCUGUCAAGGCUCAAGGCAUGUGCGUGAAGCCAUGUGAAUACCACUGAGUGACCUCAGUUGACUCCCUGUGGAGCAGAAGGACUGCCUAGCCUAGCCCUGACUGGAUUCUGGACUCAUAAAAUUAUAGAUGAAAUACAGAAUGUCCAGUUCCCCAGCAGACAGCUGUCAACCCUGAUGGCUUGGAAUGGGAUCCAUGGAUAUAACUCUGGAGAAGUGGACAUGGCACAGUAUUUUAUUCCAAAGAUAGCGGAGAGCCAAGGGAAGGGUUUAAGCGGGUUAAACAAAC